Herpailurus yagouaroundi (jaguarundi) is the source of this 1311-nucleotide long non-coding RNA. RefSeq lists it as uncharacterized. Lineage: Eukaryota; Metazoa; Chordata; Mammalia; Carnivora; Felidae. The record is from RefSeq and is a predicted model, not a curated record. The transcript has 3 exons.
GGUGGGUGUUGGAUGAGCCGGAGUGACAAGAAGACGCAUGAGCACCUGCUGGUAAGAGGCACUUGAAUGGAGCAAGAGUGAACCAGGCAGGCAGGUGGGAUGCUGCCAGGUCAUGAGACUGAUCACAAUGGUGUCAGGUGAUCUCAAACGGGGUGGCAUAACUUGGGCAAAGGCCAAUGCUCUAGGUGUGGGCUGCACAGAGGUAGAGGUUGCCCAGUAAUUUUCCACCUUGGGGAGGGCAACAAGGGUUCAUAGGACAAAGAAUGGGGAAUAAGGGAAAACUAGGGUCAAGGAAGGGGGAGGGGCUGGAGGAAUGUCUGCAUAAAUUGAGAAUGUAUCCCAUGAAUUUGAACAACACAAGAGCUCCUGAGAGGCCAGGGAGGUACCCCAAUGAACUUCUCUGGUGUUGGCACAAACGCGAGGGAAAAAAGCACACUGUGGACAACACGGAAGGUGAACACUUGGAUUUUUCGAUAGGAUUUCAUACUAGGAAAGGACAGCCAUCUUCGGAAGCAUGAGGAAAUCUAGAAGAAUGCAAUUGUUUCCAUUCUGGGCUCAGAAUGGAAAGGAUCCCAAAGAACUCUUUAUUUUCCACCAUGUUUCCUACAUGGUUACAAAGGACAGAAUCUGUGUAUACACCGCCGACCUAGGAAAGUAUGUAUUUUCCCAUCCAAAUUCAGUUUCAAAACACGGACCAAUGCAGUGUUUCGUACAGAUUCUGACUGGAAUAAGCUCAGGGGGAAAAGGCCUGGAAAGCACAUGGCAAAGAAACUCUGAGAGUCCAGAGUAUGAUUUAAAAACAAAAAACAUGGGACGUGUCGUCUUUGUGUACCCGUGUAAAUAAUUAUGAUGGUUGAACUCUGCUUAUUUUUCAUCCAACCUAAGUAACAGCUUUGAAAAAGAAAGAUAACAGUGACCUGUGUGUAUGGGAGUCCAGAGGGACAGUCUGUGACAGAGCUCACAGGGUUCCCAGGAAGACCAAGAACAGGGUCCAACUGAUCUUUCUCUGACAAGACAGGGCUGGGCAGAGGAAGGCGUAAAGAAUGAUUGCACUUGUACAUCGGAAGGUCAGCACACGAGAUCAGAGAGCAAGUCUGUUAUUUCAAAAAUAUAGCCUUCGAAUCCCCAGAGGGUCCAACUGAAGACAAGAGAGAGGUUUUGGCUUCGGGUCCAGGGUGAUGUUUCACAGAAAGUCAACUCUUGUUCCAGGUCUAUCUUAUCAGACUGGGAGAAAGAGACUAAAGCAACCCUACGUCACCACUUUGAGAAAGGAGUUGAGGUACGGUGCUCAUAAUUCCUGGCUUUUACUUG